RNAcentral lists this ribosomal RNA (389 nucleotides) under uncultured bacterium. Its description in RNAcentral is "bacterial SSU rRNA". It matches the Rfam family "Bacterial small subunit ribosomal RNA", at positions 30 to 416 of the family's 1533-position model. The record is from RNAcentral.
AUUGAACGCUGGCGGAAUGCUUUACACAUGCAAGUCGAACGGCAGCACGGGAGCUUGCUCCUGGUGGCGAGUGGCGAACGGGUGAGUAAUACAUCGGAACGUACCCUGAAGUGGGGGAUAACGUAGCGAAAGUUACGCUAAUACCGCAUAUUCUGUGAGCAGGAAAGAGGGGGAUCGCAAGACCUCUUGCUUUAGGAGCGGCCGAUGUCGGAUUAGCUAGUUGGUGAGGUAAAGGCUCACCAAGGCGACGAUCCGUAGCGGGUCUGAGAGGAUGAUCCGCCACACUGGGACUGAGACACGGCCCAGACUCCUACGGGAGGCAGCAGUGGGGAAUUUUGGGACAAUGGGCGCAAGCCUGAUCCAGCCAUGCCGCGUGAGUGAAGAAGGCC